Molecule: non-coding RNA, 67 nt
Organism: Branchiostoma floridae (Florida lancelet)
Lineage: Eukaryota; Metazoa; Chordata; Leptocardii; Amphioxiformes; Branchiostomatidae
Source: Rfam
UGGCAAUGAGGACACAAUUUGUAAAUACUCACAUGUGAUUACAUUUAUACGCUAUACUGAGCCACAU